This 492-nucleotide ribosomal RNA is filed under the name uncultured bacterium. RNAcentral describes it as "partial 16S ribosomal RNA". It matches the Rfam family "Bacterial small subunit ribosomal RNA", at positions 29 to 507 of the family's 1533-position model. The record is from RNAcentral.
AGUGAACGCUGGCGGUAGGCCUAACACAUGCAAGUCGAACGGCAGCACAGUAAGAGCUUGCUCUUACGGGUGGCGAGUGGCGGACGGGUGAGGAAUACAUCGGAAUCUACUUUUUCGUGGGGGAUAACGUAGGGAAACUUACGCUAAUACCGCAUACGACCUACGGGUGAAAGCAGGGGAUCUUCGGACCUUGCGCGAUUGAAUGAGCCGAUGUCGGAUUAGCUAGUUGGCGGGGUAAAGGCCCACCAAGGCGACGAUCCGUAGCUGGUCUGAGAGGAUGAUCAGCCACACUGGAGAUGAGACACGGUCCAGACUCCUACGGGAGGCAGCAGUGGGGAAUAUUGGACAAAGGGCGCAAGCCUGAUCCAGCCAUACCGCGUGGGUGAAGAAGGCCUUCGGGUUGUAAAGCCCUUUUGUUGGGAAAGAAAAGCAGCAGGUUAAUACCCCGCUGUUCUGACGGUACCCAAAGAAUAAGCACCGGCUAACUUCGUG